AACGAACGUUGGCGGCAGGCCUAACACAUGCAAGUCGAGCGAGGACUUCGGUUCUAGCGGCGGACGGGUGAGUAACGCGUGGGAAUGUGCCCUUCUCUACGGAAUAGCCCUGGGAAACUGGGAGUAAUACCGUAUACGCCCUAUUGGGGAAAGAUUUAUCGGAAAAGGAUCAGCCCGCGUUGGAUUAGGUAGUUGGUGGGGUAAUGGCCUACCAAGCCGACGAUCCAUAGCUGGUUUGAGAGGAUGAUCAGCCACACUGGGACUGAGACACGGCCCAGACUCCUACGGGAGGCAGCAGUGGGGAAUCUUAGACAAUGGGGGCAACCCUGAUCUAGCCAUGCCGCGUGAGUGAUGAAGGCCUUAGGGUUGUAAAGCUCUUUCAGCUGGGAAGAUAAUGACGGUACCAGCAGAAGAAGCCCCGGCUAACUCCGUG
RNAcentral lists this ribosomal RNA (433 nucleotides) under uncultured bacterium. RNAcentral describes it as "partial 16S ribosomal RNA". It matches the Rfam family "Bacterial small subunit ribosomal RNA", at positions 29 to 507 of the family's 1533-position model. The record is from RNAcentral.